GACGAACGCUGGCGGCGUGCCUAAUACAUGCAAGUCGAGCGAAGUUUUUCUGGUGCUUGCACCGGAAAAACUUAGCGGCGAACGGGUGAGUAACACGUAAAGAGCCUGCCUCAUAGACUGGGACAACUAUUGGAAACGAUAGCUAAUACCGGAUAAUAGCAUUAACUGCAUGGUUGAUGUUUAAAAGUUGGUUUUGCUAACACUAUGAGAUGGCUUUGCGGUGCAUUAGCUAGUUGGUGGGGUAAAGGCCUACCAAGGCGACGAUGCAUAGCCGACCUGAGAGGGUGAUCGGCCACACUGGGACUGAGACACGGCCCAGACUCCUACGGGAGGCAGCAGUAGGGAAUCUUCCGCAAUGGGCGAAAGCCUGACGGAGCAACGCCGCGUGAGUGAAGAAGGAUUUCGGUUCGUAAAGCUCUGUUGUUAGGGAAGAAUGAUUGUGUAGUAACGAUACACAGUAGAGACGGUACCUAACCAGAAAGCCACGGCUAACUACGUG
RNAcentral lists this ribosomal RNA (499 nucleotides) under uncultured bacterium. RNAcentral describes it as "partial 16S ribosomal RNA". It matches the Rfam family "Bacterial small subunit ribosomal RNA", at positions 28 to 507 of the family's 1533-position model. The record is from RNAcentral.